ACUUGUUUCUUCUAUAUUUAGAGCAAAUAAAGAAGAGUAAAAACAUUUUCUUGUCUUUCUCUAUUUCUUUUGUUUCUCGUACCAACUAACAACAAUGAUAAAACGGAUUUGUUAGCAUGAAAUAUAUGUGUAUAUAUAAACAAUGUUGACAACAAAAAAAAAAAAAAAACACUUGACAUAAAUAUAACGGGCUGCAUAAAAUAAUUUUUGCUAUACACAAAUUAAAAUCAGGGUUGUUUGUUUUGUAUUUCUAUCCAAACAUGCAAAAUAAUUAUUCAGUUUCUCUAUCAAAUACAUUAUGUUAAAUUUUGAUAUUUAAGGUCUUAUAGAAAGUACAACAUUCAUUGUACAAGAGGAAAUACAUUGGCUGCGUAACUGCGUUGAAGUCGCCUUAUGCUCGCAAGGUUAUCAAUAAGAAAGGAAAGUGCGGC
RNAcentral lists this long non-coding RNA (431 nucleotides) under Capsella rubella. RNAcentral describes it as "long non-coding RNA (CRUB_LNC005140)". Lineage: Eukaryota; Viridiplantae; Streptophyta; Magnoliopsida; Brassicales; Brassicaceae. The record is from RNAcentral.